This 450-nucleotide ribosomal RNA is filed under the name uncultured bacterium. RNAcentral's name for it is "partial 16S ribosomal RNA". It matches the Rfam family "Bacterial small subunit ribosomal RNA", at positions 338 to 795 of the family's 1533-position model. The record is from RNAcentral.
CCUACGGGGGGCUGCAGUGGGGAAUUUUGGACAAUGGGCGCAAGCCUGAUCCAGCCAUGCCGCGUGAGUGAAGAAGGCCUUCGGGUUGUAAAGCUCUUUCGGCCGGAACGAAAUCGUCCGGGCUAAUACCUCGGAUGGAUGACGGUACUGGAAGAAGAAGCACCGGCUAACUACGUGCCAGCAGCCGCGGUAAUACGUAGGGUGCAGGCGUUAAUCGGAGUUACUGGGCGUAGAGCGUGCGCAGGCGGGUGAAAUCCCCGGGCUUAACCUGGGAACUGCGUUUGAAACUGGGAGGCUGGAGUGCGGCAGAGGGGGGUGGAAUUCCACGUGUAGCAGUGAAAUGCGUAGAUAUGUGGAGGAACACCGAUGGCGAAGGCAGCCCCCUGGGCCUGCACUGACGCUCAUGCACGAAAGCGUGGGGAGCAAACAGGAUUAGAUACCCUAGUAGUC